Molecule: ribosomal RNA, 569 nt
Filed under: Calicnemia miles
Lineage: Eukaryota; Metazoa; Arthropoda; Insecta; Odonata; Platycnemididae
Description: SSU rRNA
Rfam family: Eukaryotic small subunit ribosomal RNA
Source: RNAcentral
UAAGUGUUGCGGUUAAAAAGCUCGUAGUCGGAGGUGUGUCUCGGACGGUCGGUUCGCCGCUUGUCGGUGCUCAACUGGCCGGUCCGGACGUCCUGCCGGUGGGGCCGCGAGGCUCCGUUAUCCUUCUUUGGUCCUCUUCACCGAGUGCCUUGGUGGGCCGGCACGUUUACUUUGAACAAAUUAGAGUGCUCAAAGCAGGCCGUUGGUCGCCUGAAUACUGUGUGCAUGGAAUAAUGGAAUAGGACCUCGGUUCCAUUUUGUUGGUUUUCAGAACUCGAGGUAAUGAUUAAUAGGGACGGACGGGGGCAUUCGUAUUGCGACGUUAGAGGUGAAAUUCUUGGAUCGUCGCAAGACGAACCGAUGCGAAAGCAUUUGCCAAGAACGUUUUCGUUGAUCAAGAACGAAAGUUAGAGGUUCGAAGGCGAUCAGAUACCGCCCUAGUUCUAACCAUAAACGAUGCCAGCUAGCCAUCCGCCGAAGUUCCUUCUAUGACUCGGCGGGCAGCUUCCGGGAAACCAAAGCUCUUGGGUUCCGGGGGAAGUAUGGUUGCAAAGCUCAAACUUAAAGGA